UACGUAGGGGGCUAGCGUUGUCCGGAAUCAUUGGGCGUAAAGCGCGUGUAGGCGGUUCGGUAAGUCUGCUGUGAAAGUCGGGGGCUCAACCCUCGGAUGCCGGUGGAUACUGCCGGGCUAGAGUACGGAAGAGGCGAGUGGAAUUCCUGGUGUAGCGGUGAAAUGCGCAGAUAUCAGGAGGAACACCAAUUGCGAAGGCAGCUCGCUGGGACGGUACUGACGCUGAGACGCGAAAGCGUGGGGAGCGAACAGG
Molecule: ribosomal RNA, 253 nt
Filed under: uncultured bacterium
Lineage: Bacteria
Description: partial 16S ribosomal RNA
Rfam family: Bacterial small subunit ribosomal RNA
Source: RNAcentral